UACGAAGGGUGCUAGCGUUGUUCGGAAUCACUGGGCGUAAAGCGCGCGCAGGCGGCUUUUCAAGUCAGAGGUGAAAUCCCAAGGCUUAACCUUGGAAUUGCCUUUGAAACUGUAGAGCUAGAGUUCAGGAGGGGAUAGGGGAAUUGCUAAUGUAGAGGUGAAAUUCGUAGAUAUUAGCAGGAACACCAGUGGCGAAGGCGCCUAUCUGGACUGACACUGACGCUGAGGCGCGAAAGCGUGGGGAGCAAACAGGAUUAGAUACCCUGGUAGUCCACGCCGUAAACGAUGAGUGCUAGCUGUUGGAACCUUUGGUUUCAGUGGCGACGCUAACGCAUUAAGCACUCCGCCUGGGGAGUACGGUCGCAAGAUUAAA
RNAcentral lists this ribosomal RNA (373 nucleotides) under uncultured bacterium. RNAcentral describes it as "bacterial SSU rRNA". It matches the Rfam family "Bacterial small subunit ribosomal RNA", at positions 524 to 898 of the family's 1533-position model. The record is from RNAcentral.